GGGGAAUUUUGGACAAUGGGGGAAACCCUGAUCCAGCCAUCCCGCGUGUAUGAUGAAGGCCUUCGGGUUGUAAAGUACUUUUGGCAGAGAAGAAAAGGUAUCUCCUAAUACGAGAUACUGCUGACGGUAUCUGCAGAAUAAGCACCGGCUAACUACGUGCCAGCAGCCGCGGUAAUACGUAGGGUGCAAGCGUUAAUCGGAAUUACUGGGCGUAAAGCGUGUGUAGGCGGUUCGGAAAGAAAGAUGUGAAAUCCCAGGGCUCAACCUUGGAACUGCAUUUUUAACUGCCGAGCUAGAGUAUGUCAGAGGGGGGUAGAAUUCCACGUGUAGCAGUGAAAUGCGUAGAUAUGUGGAGGAAUACCGAUGGCGAAGGCAGCCCCCUGGGAUAAUACUGACGCUCAGACACGAAAGCGUGGGGAGCAAAC
Molecule: ribosomal RNA, 425 nt
Filed under: uncultured bacterium
Lineage: Bacteria
Description: bacterial SSU rRNA
Rfam family: Bacterial small subunit ribosomal RNA
Source: RNAcentral